RNAcentral lists this ribosomal RNA (426 nucleotides) under uncultured Acetobacterium sp. Its description in RNAcentral is "bacterial SSU rRNA". It matches the Rfam family "Bacterial small subunit ribosomal RNA", at positions 356 to 774 of the family's 1533-position model. Lineage: Bacteria; Bacillati; Bacillota; Clostridia; Eubacteriales; Eubacteriaceae. The record is from RNAcentral.
GGGGAAUAUUGCGCAAUGGGCGAAAGCCUGACGCAGCGACGCCGCGUGAGGGAUGAAGGUUUUCGGAUCGUAAACCUCUGUCAGAAGGGAAGAAACCGCACCGUGCUAAUCAGCGGUGCCUUGACGGUACCUUCAAAGGAAGCACCGGCUAACUCCGUGCCAGCAGCCGCGGUAAUACGUAGGGGACAAGCGUUGUCCGGAUUUACUGGGCGUAAAGGGCACGCAGGCGGUUUUUUAAGUCAGAUGUGAAAGGUACCGGCUCAACCGGUGACAUGCAUUUGAAACUGAAAGACUUGAGUAUUGGAGAGGCAAGUGGAAUUCCUAGUGUAGCGGUGAAAUGCGUAGAUAUUAGGAGGAACACCGGUGGCGAAGGCGGCUUGCUGGACAAAUACUGACGCUGAGGUGCGAAAGCGUGGGGAGCAAACA